GGAAGUAAAAGUCGUAACAAGGUUUCCGUAGGCGAACCUGCGGAAGGAUCAUUAACGAAGGCGAGAGUUGUACAUAUUUUGUAUAAUUCUUGUUUGAUCAACCGCAAUCCAAGUGUAAUUUUUAUUUUGGGGAAACCCAUUAUUAUUACAGUAUACAGUAGUAUAUUAAUUAAACAAAACUUUCAACAACGGAUCUCUUGGCUCUUGCAUCGAUGAAGAACGCAGCGAAUUGCGACAAGUAGUGUGAAUUGCAGAAUUCCGUGAAUCAUCGAAUCUUUGAACGCAUAUUGCACUUUUUGGUAUUCAGAAAAGUAUGCCUGUUUGAGGGUCAUUGAAUAAAAUCGAGCGCAAUGAUUAAUUGUAAUCGGAUGGCUGAGUAUUUCGCGAUAUACUUUUAUAUCAUGAUUGCUCGAAAUUGAAGCAUGGUCUCGGCCUUUUAUAGAGACGCGUUUACGGUGGCUCGCCUCCAAUAUCUCGCAACUUUUAGGUCGAAUUCCGUGGUAGUUUGGGUCGUUUCUCUUUGGGAAAAGGCACUUACAGUUUAUCUUAUCGUGACCUCAAAUCAAGCAAGAAUACCCGCUGAACUUAAGCAUAUCAAUAAGCGGAGGA
This 609-nucleotide ribosomal RNA is filed under the name uncultured Archaeospora. RNAcentral describes it as "eukaryotic LSU rRNA". The stretch from base 178 to 331 matches the Rfam family "5.8S ribosomal RNA". Lineage: Eukaryota; Fungi; Glomeromycota; Glomeromycetes; Archaeosporales; Archaeosporaceae. The record is from RNAcentral.